UCUCUAUGACAAUAUUUUUCACUUUGUUUAAUCAUUCAAUAGGUGACGGUCCUAAAUUUUGCCCAGGAACUUUUACGGCUAAUGGUGUAUGUGCUAAUAUUGAUUGUGGAAAUCUAGCUCUAUUACAGUGGCCAGCAAGUUCGAUGCCUCAUGAUUGUGUUUGUUCUGCAUCUGGAAGCACUCAAAGUCUUUGUACCUGUCAAAUUCGUUGUUAAAACAAAAUUAUGCAAUAAAAGUGAUUAUUAUUGAUGUUAA
This is a long non-coding RNA of Solanum lycopersicum (tomato), 255 nucleotides long. RefSeq lists it as uncharacterized. NCBI's taxonomy places the organism in Eukaryota, Viridiplantae, Streptophyta, Magnoliopsida, Solanales, Solanaceae. The record is from RefSeq and is a predicted model, not a curated record.